GAUCAUGGCUCAGGAUGAACGCUAGCUACAGGCUUAACACAUGCAAGUCGAGGGGCAGCAUGUUGGUUGCUUGCAACCGAUGAUGGCGACCGGCGCACGGGUGAGUAACGCGUAUCCAACCUACCCUUGUCCAUCGGAUAACCCGUCGAAAGGCGGCCUAACACGAUAUGCGGUUCACAGCAGGCACUACGUGACGAAAUAGUGAGGAGAGGAUGGGAGUGCGU
This 224-nucleotide ribosomal RNA is filed under the name uncultured bacterium. RNAcentral describes it as "partial 16S ribosomal RNA". It matches the Rfam family "Bacterial small subunit ribosomal RNA", at positions 15 to 236 of the family's 1533-position model. The record is from RNAcentral.